GAUGAACGCUGGCGGCGUGCCUAAUACAUGCAAGUCGAGCGAACAGACGAGGAGCUUGCUCCUCUGACGUUAGCGGCGGACGGGUGAGUAACACGUGGAUAACCUACCUAUAAGACUGGGAUAACUUCGGGAAACCGGAGCUAAUACCGGAUAAUAUAUUGAACCGCAUGGUUCAAUAGUGAAAGACGGUUUUGCUGUCACUUAUAGAUGGAUCCGCGCCGCAUUAGCUAGUUGGUAAGGUAACGGCUUACCAAGGCAACGAUGCGUAGCCGACCUGAGAGGGUGGUCGGCCACACUGGAACUGAGCCACGGUCCAGGCUCCUACGGGAGGCAGCAGUAGGGAAUCUUCCGCAGUGGGCGGAAGCCUGACGGAGCAACGCCGCGUGAGUGAUGAAGGUCUUCGGAUCGUAAAACUCUGUUAUUAGGGAAGAACAAAUGUGUAAGUAACUAUGCACGUCUUGACGGUACCUAAUCAGAAAGCCACGGCUAACUACGUG
RNAcentral lists this ribosomal RNA (497 nucleotides) under uncultured bacterium. RNAcentral describes it as "partial 16S ribosomal RNA". It matches the Rfam family "Bacterial small subunit ribosomal RNA", at positions 28 to 507 of the family's 1533-position model. The record is from RNAcentral.